UACGUAGGGGGCAAGCGUUGUCCGGAAUCAUUGGGCGUAAAGAGCGUGUAGGCGGCCAGAUAAGUCCGCUGUGAAAUCUCGAGGCUCAACCUCGAGACGUCGGCGGAAACCCUCUGGCUAGAGUCCGGAAGAGGAGAGUGGAAUUCCUGGUGUAGCGGUGAAAUGCGCAGAUAUCAGGAAGAACACCCGUGGCGAAGGCGGCUCUCUGGGACGGUACUGACGCUGAGACGCGAAAGCGUGGGGAGCAAACAGG
RNAcentral lists this ribosomal RNA (253 nucleotides) under uncultured bacterium. RNAcentral describes it as "partial 16S ribosomal RNA". It matches the Rfam family "Bacterial small subunit ribosomal RNA", at positions 524 to 776 of the family's 1533-position model. The record is from RNAcentral.